This 208-nucleotide ribosomal RNA is filed under the name uncultured bacterium. RNAcentral's name for it is "partial 16S ribosomal RNA". It matches the Rfam family "Bacterial small subunit ribosomal RNA", at positions 568 to 774 of the family's 1533-position model. The record is from RNAcentral.
CGUGUAGGCGGCCCGGUAUGUCUGGCGUGAAAUCUCCACUGCUCAACAGGGAGAAGCCGCUGGAAACUGCUGGGCUUGAGGACCGGAGAGGCCGGUGGAAUUCCAGGUGUAGCGGUGGAAUGCGUAGAUAUCUGGAAGAACACCAGUGGCGAAGGCGGCCGGCUGGACGGUUCCUGACGCUGAGGCGCGAAAGUGUGGGUAGCGAACG